Molecule: long non-coding RNA, 1346 nt
Filed under: Homo sapiens (human)
Lineage: Eukaryota; Metazoa; Chordata; Mammalia; Primates; Hominidae
Description: non-protein coding lnc-BPY2-3:1
Source: RNAcentral
AAUAACUUGCAUUGUAUAAACUCUUUGUUGGUAGAGAGUUGCAUAACAGGGCCCAGCAAAAAGUUCAGAUUAUGACUCUCGCUUACACAACCAGUUGAAAAUAAAAGUUGUCACCAUUCCACAUUUACAGUGCCCACUGUUGAGAUCUUGAGUCUAACAAGCUCUGCUGUCUGAACCCUCCUUCCACUGGGGAUUCCAGCAUCUCUAAUCAUGCCAUCCAAAUGAUAUGACUCCAUUACAUACCAUGGGCCUAUUCUGUAGGUAAUCUUGUUCUCAUCAUUAGUAUGCAUUUCUUUUUCCUACAUAUUCUACAUUUGGGUUUAUGUCUUAUUGCUGAGUCCAGCAUCAUUGAUAUUCUGUCUUGCUUUAUUUAUUACUGAAAGUGGGGUAUUGAUAUAUACUUCCACUAUCUCAUUGCUGCCUGCCUAUUUUUGAUUCAAUUCUGUCAAUGUUUGAUUUAUGUGUUUGGAAUAACUGUCCUGCAUUUAUAGGUUCUCAGUGAAUGAACCCUCUUACUGCAUUUGAAUGUCCUACUUUGUCCCUUGUGAAUUUUAACAUAAAAUAAAUUAUAUAAAUAUAACAGUUUUCAACUUAAUAAAUUGUUACCUCUUCUCCUCUCAUUUGAUUAACACUUGCAUGGAAUGUAUUUUUAUACUGCCAUUUUCAGUCUAAUUUUUAUUAGAUCUGAAAUGAGUCUCUUAAAGGCAUGACAUAGUUACAUCCUGAUAUAGACUACAACAUAGCCACAUUUUUUUUUUUCAUUUGGAAAGAUAAUUUUGCAGGCUAUAGUAUUCUUUAUUAGGCUAUUUAUUUCAGUGUUUUAACUAUGUCAUCUUAUUCCCUUCAUGCCCAAAAGAUUGACAUUCAUAAAUUUACUGGUAAUCUUGCAGAAGCAUACAUAUGAAUAACACAUCUAUUUUUUAUUUCUGAAUUCCAGAUUCUCUUCUUUUCUCUGACUUUCAAAACAUUGCUUAUGUUUUGUCUUGUUAGAAAUCUCUUUGUGUUAACCUUAGUUGAAAUUGUCUGAGCUUCUUGAGUUUCUUAAAAUUUUUUACUGAUGUUGAACUGCAUAUUAGUCUUUUUUUGUGCUUCUACUGCACAAUUUUCAUUCCUUUUUGUGACUUUUAUCUUUUGUUGGUUUCAUUUAUUUAUUUUUAUGUUUUUUUCUUUAUUUCUAUUUUACUGAUUAAGCAUCAUUGACACGGUGAUUUUCACUUUUUAGCACUUUUUUUUUUUCUUUUUAAAAAUAGAUCUAAACUAACCCAAAUCGCCUCUGGUAAUUUUUAUAUUACCAUUUAUAUCUCCAUUUUUUAUAACUGAUUUCUGGAUAUUUCACCAUGUUGACC